AGAGGUUGAUCCUGGCUCAGAACGAACGCUGGGGGCAGGCCUAAGACAUGCAAGUCGAACUAACUCUUCGGAGGAGCGGCGCACGGGUGCGUAACACGUGGGAAUGUACCCCAGGGUGCGGAACAACGUUUGGAAACGAACGCUAAUACCGCAUAAUGACUCCGGUCCAAAGAUUUAUCGCUCAAGGAUUAGCCCGCGUCUGAUUAGUUUGUUGGUGAGGUAAUGGCUCACCAAGACUACGAUCAGUAGGGGGUCUGAGAGGAUGAUCCCCCACACUGGUACUGAGACACGGACCAGACUCCUACGGGAGGCAGCAGUGAGGAAUAUUGGACAAUGGGGGAAACCCUGAUCCAGCCAUGCCGCGUGAGUGAAGACGGCCUUAGGGUUGUAAAGCUCUUUCAGAUGUGAAGAUAAUGACGGUAGCAUCAGAAGAAGCCCCGGCUAAAUUCGUGCCAGCAGCCGCGGUAAUACGAAUGGGGCAAGCGUUGUUCGGAAUAACUGGGCUUAAAGCGUCCGCAGGCGGAUUAACAAGUCAGAAGUGAAAUCCCAGAGCUCAACUCUGGAACUGCUUUUGAAACUGUAAAUCUAGAAUAUUGGAGAGGUUGGGAGAAUUCCUAGUGUAGAGGUGAAAUUCGCAGAUAUUAGGAGGAAUACCAGUGGCGUAGGCGCCCAACUGGACAAUUAUUGACGCUCAGGGACGAAGGCGUGGGGAGCAAACAGGAUUAGAUACCCUGUAGUCCACGCCGUAAACGAUGUAUGCUAGUUGUUGGAGUCUUAAGGCUUCAGUGACGCAGAGAAAUCAUUAAGCAUACCGCCUGGGGAGUACGGUCGCAAGAUUAAAACUCAAAGGAAUUGACGGGGACCCGCACAAGCGGUGGAGCAUGUUGUUUAAUUCGAAGCAACGCGAAGAACCUUACCCACACUUAACUAUCCUCUUGGGGCUUUCAGAGAUGAUCGCUUUCGGUUCGGCCGGGGAGUGAAUAGGUGCUGCAUGGCUGUCGUCAGCUCGUGUCGUGAGAUGUUAGGUUAAGUCCUGCAACGAGCGCAACCCUUAUCGUAUGUUGCCAUCAGGUUAUGCUGGGAACUCAUGCGAGACUGCCGGUGACAAGCCGGAGGAAGGCGGGGACGACGUCAAGUCAUCAUGGCCCUUACCGUGGGGGCACAAACGUGCUACAAUGGUAACGAACAAGGGCAGCCACUCCGCAAGGAGGCGCUAAUCUCCAAACGUUAUCUCAGUUCGGAUUGUUCUCUGCAACUCGAGAGCAUGAAGUUGGAAUCGCUAGUAAUCGUGCAUCAGCAUGUCACGGUGAAUACGUUCCCGGGUCUUGUACACACCGCCCGUCACGUCAUGGGAGUUGGUUCUACCCGACGGCCGUACGCUAACCUUUUGGAGGCAGCGGACCACGGUAGGAUUAGCGACUGGGACUAAGUCGUAACAAGGUAACC
RNAcentral lists this ribosomal RNA (1446 nucleotides) under uncultured prokaryote. RNAcentral's name for it is "partial 16S ribosomal RNA". It matches the Rfam family "Bacterial small subunit ribosomal RNA". The record is from RNAcentral.